CCUUGUAGAGAAGUGCCAGACUCUGGUUCAUCCUCUCCUCGAUAACAUGCAGAUGUGUGUACACCUGGAAAAAAGGAUUUUGCAAGUGUUAAACAACAAGAACUGGACCCAGAUGACAGCGUGAACUCGGAAAAGGAAUGCAUUUGCUGAGCUUGCUGUCCUGUGAAGCUGCUGAGCUGACGUCUGAGCAAGUAUUUCUGUUUGACGUGGGCAAGCUUGUCCCAAAAGUCUCCUGCUGGUUGGUGACCCAGUUCGAAAUCACACGCAUCUCCAAAUGCUGGUAACCACGCAGCAAACAUUACACGCAGCAAUGACGUAGUAGCUGACUCCAUUUUGCCUCAUUUGCAUAAUUGUCAAUAUUAUUAAUAAACAAUAA
Molecule: long non-coding RNA, 376 nt
Organism: Syngnathus typhle (broad-nosed pipefish)
Lineage: Eukaryota; Metazoa; Chordata; Actinopteri; Syngnathiformes; Syngnathidae
Exons: 3
Source: RefSeq, a predicted model, not a curated record